RNAcentral lists this ribosomal RNA (388 nucleotides) under Ostracion sp. AD-2003. RNAcentral describes it as "partial 16S ribosomal RNA". It matches the Rfam family "Bacterial large subunit ribosomal RNA", at positions 1962 to 2501 of the family's 2925-position model. The record is from RNAcentral. Lineage: Eukaryota; Metazoa; Chordata; Actinopteri; Tetraodontiformes; Ostraciidae.
CAAUCACUUGUCUCUUAAAUGGGGACCUGUAUGAAUGGCACCACGAGGGCUUGACUGUCUCUACUUUCCGGUCAAUGAAAUUGAUCCCCCCGUGCAGAAGCGGGGAUUACAGCAUAAGACGAGAAGACCCUAUGGAGCUUUAGACACUAAAGCAGAUCACGUCAAACACCCCUAAUUAAAGGAAUAAACCAAAUGAACCCUGCCCUACUGUCUUUGGUUGGGGCGACCGCGGGGAAAUACAAAACCCCCACGUGGAAUGAGACCACCUGUCUUAAAACCAAGAGCUCCCGCUCUACUAAACAGAACUUCUGACCAAUAAGAUCCGGCUCUGACCGAUCAACGGACCGAGUUACCCUAGGGAUAACAGCGCAAUCCCCUUCUAGAGCCC